AUGGCUGGCAGAAUAAGGUCAGUCAACAAAACGUUGUAGUCAUAGGCAAUCAAUGCCUCCUAUAUCCGUUCAUAUAUUCAUCAUUCCUUAGUCUGCCAUUCGGGGUUCAUUCAUUGCACGAUAAUGCUCGAACUCCAAGGCUCUCGUCACUUCAAAACCAAGCUAGGUUCCGAUCAGAUAAGAACAAGUGUAUCAAAAUUUAACUACAUUUAUAUUACGAUUUUACAAACACACGAUUUUACAAACAUACACAAACCUUACAGAAAACACAGACAAGACAACAAACAUACAUUUAAACGAAAACACACUAGCUAAACUGCCUAAAAUCCAGUCAAAAAUACACAAGAAACAUGACGCUAAUAAACACUAACACAUCUACAAACAUAAACAAC
Non-coding RNA from Paramuricea clavata, 392 nucleotides. Lineage: Eukaryota; Metazoa; Cnidaria; Anthozoa; Malacalcyonacea; Plexauridae. The record is from the annotation of a GenBank genome assembly.